Molecule: transfer RNA, 86 nt
Filed under: Salinihabitans flavidus
Lineage: Bacteria; Pseudomonadati; Pseudomonadota; Alphaproteobacteria; Rhodobacterales; Roseobacteraceae
Description: tRNA_Leu_CAA
Rfam family: tRNA
About the family: Transfer RNA (tRNA) molecules are approximately 80 nucleotides in length.
Source: RNAcentral
GCCCAAGUGGCGGAAUGGUAGACGCAGGGGAUUCAAAAUCCCCCGGUGGCGACACCGUGUGGGUUCGAAUCCCACCUUGGGCACCA